GCCCUAGUGGCGGAAUGGUAGACGCGCUCGACUCAAAAUCGAGUGUCGAAAGGCGUGGGGGUUCGAGUCCCUCCUGGGGUA
This 81-nucleotide transfer RNA is filed under the name Bacteroidota bacterium. RNAcentral describes it as "Bacteroidetes bacterium (activated sludge metagenome) tRNA-Leu". It matches the Rfam family "tRNA". From Rfam's summary of the family: Transfer RNA (tRNA) molecules are approximately 80 nucleotides in length. Lineage: Bacteria; Pseudomonadati; Bacteroidota. The record is from RNAcentral.